This 433-nucleotide ribosomal RNA is filed under the name uncultured bacterium. Its description in RNAcentral is "partial 16S ribosomal RNA". It matches the Rfam family "Bacterial small subunit ribosomal RNA", at positions 29 to 507 of the family's 1533-position model. The record is from RNAcentral.
AACGAACGCUGGCGGCAUGCCUAACACAUGCCAGUCGAACGAGACCUUCGGGUCUAGUGGCGCACGGGUGCGUAGCGCGUGGGAACCUGCCCUUAGGUUCGGAAUAACUCCCCGAAAGGGGUGCUAAUACCGGAUAAUGUCUUCGGACCAAAGAUUUAUCGCCUUUGGAUGGGCCCGCGUUGGAUUAGCUAGUUGGUAGGGUAAAAGCCUACCAAGGCGACGAUCCAUAGCUGGUCUGAGAGGAUGAUCAGCCACACUGGGACUGAGACACGGCCCAGACUCCUACGGGAGGCAGCAGUGGGGAAUAUUGGACAAUGGGCGAAAGCCUGAUCCAGCAAUGCCGCGUGAGUGAUGAAGGCCUUAGGGUUGUAAAGCUCUUUUACCCGGGAUGAUAAUGACAGUACCGGGAGAAUAAGCGCCGGCUAACUCCGUG